UACCCCCGUCACCGGACUAGACGCAGCCAUUUCCGUCUCCGUCCCCUAACCGUGUGUCUGUGCGUGUGUAUUCAUCGUGGUCGGCCAUUUUCUCUCAAAUCGUUGUUGUCUGCUUCAUACGUGCUUCUUAUAAGUUCUAAUUGUUGUGUUCAAGUAUUCAACGUAUUUCCAUUCUUUUGUAUUGUGUCUGUUGAUUCCAAGCUAUACGUGAUGGCACAGAUAAAAGACGAGAAACUUGACACGUCGAUAAACAACGGACCGAACACACACCACGGUCCGAAUAUCAAUCAAAAGCCAAAAGAAGAAUUCCAUGGUGGCCGCGGUGGAAGAGGCAACCGUUUUCAACCGUAUGGUGGCCCCAACAGAGACCGCAAAGGAGGACCGAGGGACAAUAACAUGCCUAGAGGAGAUUUCCGCAAUGAUAGUAAUCAGGGUGAUCAUCAAGGAGAUAGUGAAAUUAUGAAUAGAGGUGGGCGCAAUCACAAUGAUAGUGGAAGAGGCGGUAGACGUGGUGGAGGUGUUGGUGGAGGAGGUUUUAGAGGUGGUCCGCCUAAUCGUGUUGAUGACCGCAUAACUAGAGCUGAUGCUGUUUGGAAUGAACGUUUGAUGCAAAUAAUGGGACCCACUCACGAACUUCCUCAAACCGAUAAUACUGAAAGAAAAUUCCUUAGUCAAUGCCGUCUUUAUAUUGGAAAUUUAGUAGAUUGCACUGAAGAAGAACUUAUUGAAAUGUUUAAACCAUAUGGAGAGGUUUCUGAAAAUUUUUUGAAUAAAGAAAAAAUGUUUGCUUUUAUCAGAUUGGAUUACCGUACUAAUGCUGAGAAAGCUAAACGAGAAUUAGAUGGACAAAUGCGUAAAGGGCGUAUGUUAAAAAUUCGAUUUGCUCCCAUUGCUGCUGCUAUUAAAGUCAAAAAUCUUACUCCAUUUGUGUCUAAUGAGCUUUUAGAAUAUGCUUUUUCAAUAUUUGGAGAUAUUGAACGUUGUCAAGUUAUGGUAGAUGAAAGAGGUAAUUCAACUGGUGAAGGAAUUAUUGAAUUUUCUCGUAAAAAUGCUGCAAGUAAUGCAUUGAAACGGUGUUCAGAAGGUUGUUUCUUUUUGACUAGUUCCCUUCGUCCUUGUGUAGUUGAGACUUACGAGUUUGUAGAUAGUUCUGAUGGUCUCCCAGAUAAAUUGUUGCCCAAAAAAACGAUGGAUUUCCAGAAGCAAAGAGAAGUUGGUCCAAGAUUUGCCAAUCCAAACUCUUUUGAACAUGAAUUUGGUACACGUUGGAAACAAUUAGCUGAAUUGUACAAACAAAAGGAAGAAGCAUUAAAACGUGAAAUGAAACUGGAAGAAGAAAAAUUGGAAGCACAGAUGGAAUAUGCUCGUUAUGAGCAUGAGACUGAAAUGCUCCGAGAACAAUUGCGCCAACGAGAAAUGGAUAGAGAACGACAAAAGAUGGAGUGGGAAAUGAAAGAACGACAAGCAGAAGAACAAAGGCUUAGAGAAGAAGAUAUUUUCAGAAGACAAAGUGAAGAUCUAAGCAUGAGAAUGCACCAUCAGGAUGAAGAAAUGAGAAGGCGCCAACAAGAUAACUCGUCAUUCAUGCAGGACCAUAGAGGAGGACCACCAGGUAAACCUCAAUUUGAUGGACCUCCUAUGCCCGUUGAAGGGAUGACUGUUCGUGAACUUGAAGCAAUAACUGCACAAGGAGGAAUGGCUCGACUGUGUAUGGCAUUCGGUUGACCGCGUCGUUACUCCGAAGAGACUCGAAUCCAAGACAUGAGUAAACUGUCUAAGAAGAAAUUGUGUCAUAUUUGUUGAGCAACGCUGUCAGUUACGCGGUGCAUGUUUCUAGCAGCAGUAAGCGUUCCAACCAUGGACCAUUCGUUGAGAAGAAAAAUGCUGAUAUGAA
RNAcentral lists this unclassified non-coding RNA (1894 nucleotides) under Sipha flava (yellow sugarcane aphid). RNAcentral's name for it is "hrp65 protein-like, transcript variant X1". The record is from RNAcentral. Lineage: Eukaryota; Metazoa; Arthropoda; Insecta; Hemiptera; Aphididae.